CAUCUACACACACAGGAAAUCGGUCUCAUCUAAAGGAAAAUCUGAAAUCAACAUUUUAUCUGCACAAGAUAAAGGCACAUACACAUAGGGCUCAGAUCUCAGGAGCCCUGAGUCUGGACGAAGAAGGGGGGGAAAGGGAGGUAUCAGGACAAGAAAUCCUGUUUCCAGCUGUGUUAUGAGGUCUGGCGUGGAAAGGAGCAAAAUAUUCUACUCAUCCCCAAGACUAGGAUUCACCCCUCCUCCCUUUCUCUCUUGUUUUGACUUACGUAUGUUUAUAGUAGGAGCAACUGGCUCACAACUAGAGCCAUUGCCGAGAGUGCGUUUAAAGGGUGGCUGCUUUACUCCACUAUAAUUCAGUUCCCGCAUGUGAGCCUCAGCCCCGCGUCACCUGGAUACUGCAGACAAACAGCGUUAAAUAUGCAUAAGGAACAGUUCAUUUCUUAAAGGAGAACUUACCCGGACAGAAAGUUCGCGGCCCAACAGUAGGAACACAGACGUGGUGUCAUUUCUUUUCGUUUCGGACAAUAACACAUUUUUACAAGUGGUUGUAAAGUCUUUAGCGCCAUCUAACGGGAGCCAUACGUCUUUCUGCUCCACAGAGAACAUGGCUAAUUAAUAAGCGAGAUCUCUGCAUGCAGAAAAUUAGCUACAAUCUUGCACCUCUCUGGAAGAAAAAAAUUCGGGAGCAAGUCCUAAUGGUAGCCUGAUUUCUGUAAAGCAGCUUGCGGGCGUGGGAUGCAAAGUACAUUUUAAAUGUGCACGAUGCAUCUGUUUUUCUUCAAUUCAACAGAAGUUAAGCUGCAGCUCUGAAAGUCUUUCAGCAUUGUGGCUUUUCACAUACUCAGAAGAUGAGUGCAACUCCUAAAGGAAACUGAAGGCAGACUGGAUAUCUCUGUUGGUCCCAGAAGGGGCACAAGCAGGAUCAGCUGCAGAAGGGUAAAGGACAUGACUUUUUUCUGCAUUGUAAGCUGUGUGGCCAUCCCUCCCUGUCACUCUCUGAGGGAGGCCACGCUUCCUCACUGCCAAGUACCUGUAAAGAUUUCAUGUCUUGUGGAAUAGGCCCUCACUUUACAGCUAACAUGGUGGAAAGCAAAUGAGAGUAUCUGAGAGAAAAAGAGACAAAGAGAUUUUCGGUUUAAGGAGAACACACCUGAAUUGUGGAUGUACUAUUAUCUGUAUUAAGCUCUGAGUAUUAAAAUGCUGAUUGUUCCAGUCCUCAUCACCUUAUUUUACCUCUGCCUUUUCCCCAUUGCAUGCUUUGCUUUACCUCCAUUGUCUGUCUGCUUAACUUGUAAAAUGCUAAAAAAAGUUUGGAUAUUUACCUGUUUAUGAUUAAAU
Chelonia mydas (Green sea turtle) is the source of this 1338-nucleotide long non-coding RNA. RefSeq lists it as uncharacterized. Lineage: Eukaryota; Metazoa; Chordata; Testudines; Cheloniidae. The record is from RefSeq and is a predicted model, not a curated record. The transcript has 6 exons.